This 253-nucleotide ribosomal RNA is filed under the name uncultured bacterium. Its description in RNAcentral is "partial 16S ribosomal RNA". It matches the Rfam family "Bacterial small subunit ribosomal RNA", at positions 524 to 776 of the family's 1533-position model. The record is from RNAcentral.
UACGUAGGGGGCAAGCGUUGUCCGGAUUUAUUGGGCGUAAAGAGCGUGUAGGCGGUGCUCUAAGUUCGGUGUGAAAUCUCCCGGCUUAACUGGGAGGGUGCGCCGGAAACUGGAGUGCUCGAGCGUGGGAGAGGAAAGCGGAAUUCCUGGUGUAGCGGUGAAAUGCGUAGAUAUCAGGAGGAACACCGGUGGCGAAGGCGGUUCUCUGGGCAUUACCUGACGCUGAGGAGCGAAAGUGUGGGGAGCGAACAGG